UACGUAGGGUGCGAGCGUUAAUCGGAUUUACUGGGCGUAAAGCGCACGUAGGCGGAUCGAUCAGUCAGGGGUGAAAUCCCAGAGCUCAACUCUGGAACUGCCUUUGAUACUGUCGAUCUGGAGUAUGGAAGAGGUGAGUGGAAUUCCGAGUGUAGAGGUGAAAUUCGUAGAUAUUCGGAGGAACACCAGUGGCGAAGGCGGCUCACUGGUCCAUUACUGACGCUGAGGUGCGAAAGCGUGGGGAGCAAACAGG
This 253-nucleotide ribosomal RNA is filed under the name uncultured bacterium. RNAcentral describes it as "partial 16S ribosomal RNA". It matches the Rfam family "Bacterial small subunit ribosomal RNA", at positions 524 to 776 of the family's 1533-position model. The record is from RNAcentral.